CCUACGGGAGGCAGCAGUAAGGAAUAUUGGACAAUGCUCGCAAGAGUGAUCCAGCCAUGCCGCGUGCAGGAAGAAUGCCCUAUGGGUAGUAAACUGCUUUUGAACUAGAGAAAACCCCAGUACGUGUACUGGGCUGAUAGUAUAGUUAGAAUAAGCAUCGGCUAACUUCGUGCCAGCAGCCGCGGUAAGACGAAGGAUGCAAGCGUUAUCCGGAUUCAUUGGGUUUAAAGGGAGCGUAGGUGGACUGAUAAGUCAGUGGUGAAAUCUCCGAGCUUAACUCGGAAAUUGCCAUUGAUACUGUUGGUCUUGAGUACAGUUGCUGUGGGCGGAAUAUGACAUGUAGUGGUGAAAUACAUAGAGAUGUCAUAGAACACCGAUUGCGAAGGCAGCUCACAAAGCUGUAACUGACACUGAGGCUCGAAAGUGCGGGGAUCAAACAGGAUUAGAUACCCUGGUAGUCCGCACCGUAAACGAUGAUUACUCGCUGCUAGGGGGCAACCGUUUAGUGGCUUAGCGAAAGCGAUAAGAAUCCACCUGGGAGUCGCGGCAACGGUUGAAACUCAAANAGAGUAGAGNGNGNGAGNGCGACGGACGACGACGAGGGAGGAGG
RNAcentral lists this ribosomal RNA (610 nucleotides) under uncultured bacterium. Its description in RNAcentral is "bacterial SSU rRNA". It matches the Rfam family "Bacterial small subunit ribosomal RNA", at positions 338 to 951 of the family's 1533-position model. The record is from RNAcentral.